GUAUAUUUAACUUUAUAGGUACAAAGGCACCUGGUUCGACAUUCUAAACACAUUCAAGAGGUUGUGAAAAUGACAUAGACCUGAAAAAUGAAAAGGGAAAGCCGACCAUGAUUUACAAAGCACAGCAGUCCCAACUCGAAAUGAAUCAACAAAAGCUCCAGGUCUACAAUAUGUGCACAGUUGGAGAGAUAAAGAUGACAAGCGUGCACAUACCCUCCAAAGAGGGCCAGCAACAGCCUGUGCAAGUUUAUUCAAUAAUGAUCCUUCCGCAGGUUCACCUACGGAAA
This 287-nucleotide unclassified non-coding RNA is filed under the name uncultured fungus. RNAcentral's name for it is "sequence contains ITS1". Lineage: Eukaryota; Fungi. The record is from RNAcentral.